GUGGGGAGGCUGGAUCCUGGGCUGUGUCCCCGAUGCCCAGUGCUCCUGGGCCUGCGCUUUUGGAUUCGCGCUCCUGGCCACGCAACCCCCU
Molecule: microRNA precursor, 91 nt
Filed under: Canis lupus familiaris (dog)
Lineage: Eukaryota; Metazoa; Chordata; Mammalia; Carnivora; Canidae
Description: mir-8799 microRNA precursor family
Rfam family: mir-8799 microRNA precursor family
Source: Rfam by way of RNAcentral